CUCAUGGCAGUUAGGAAGCAGAGGGAGAGAGGAGCCAGGGAUGAGAUACAUAAUCCUGGGGCACAUCUCCAGUGACCUGCUGGCUCCAGUCACACCCCACCUUCCUUCGGUGGCUGCCCAAUAAUUCAUUUGGAUUAUCAAUCCAUCCAAUGGAUUAGUCCACUAAUUAGGUUACAGCUCACGUAGUCUAAUCACUUAACCUGUGAACAUUCCUGCAUUAUCUCACACAUAAGCUUUUGGGAACGCCUCAUUUCCAACCAUAACAGCUUUAAACCUUUGGGUUUCCUGGCUCUAGGGUUCUUAGCCCCAUUGUCCCUGAUGUGCAGACCUGGAGAGAUGUUCAAAGGAAAGCCAACCUCCUCUUCCAGCCCGGUGCUCCUGAGACCACGCUGAUUAUCAGGGAUGGAGAUGGCUUUCGGCUUGACAGAGCUCUACUCAGAGUUGGGGCACAUGCUUAGUGUUCCCUUUUAUUGAGGACCCUUGUGGUUCUCAUGCUUUUUGUUUGUUUGUUUUGUUUAUGUCUUUCUUUGUUUAGAAUCAUCCCUCUGUGGGUUUUUCUGUCCUUUAGAACUUUC
RNAcentral lists this long non-coding RNA (575 nucleotides) under Marmota monax (woodchuck). The record is from RNAcentral. Lineage: Eukaryota; Metazoa; Chordata; Mammalia; Rodentia; Sciuridae.